CCUACGGGAGGCAGCAGUAGGGAAUCUUCCGCAAUGGGCGAAAGCCUGACGGAGCAACGCCGCGUGAGUGAUGAAGGGUUUCGGCUCGUAAAACUCUGUUAUUAGGGAAGAACUAAUGUGUAAGUAACUGUGCACAUCUUGACGGUACCUAAUCAGAAAGCCACGGCUAACUACGUGCCAGCAGCCGCGGUAAU
This 194-nucleotide ribosomal RNA is filed under the name uncultured rumen bacterium. Its description in RNAcentral is "partial 16S ribosomal RNA". It matches the Rfam family "Bacterial small subunit ribosomal RNA", at positions 338 to 524 of the family's 1533-position model. The record is from RNAcentral.